GGGAAACAGCAUGGGCAAAGCCUAGUGUUUUGAGUUGAAUUCAUAUGCUAAUGUCCUGACCCCCAGUUCCUCAGGACAUGACCUUAUUUGGAAAUAGGACCGUAGCAGGUGUAAUUAGUUCAGAGGAAGGUGCACUGGAGCAGAGGGGACCCUGAUCCAACAUGACUGAGCACAGGAGUUCUCCAGCUCUAUGGGCUAAGGAUCUGGCAUUGCCUCUGCCCUGAUGGGGUUUGAUUCCUGGCCUGGGAACUUCUGCAUGCUCCAGGCAUAGCCAAGGAAAAAACCAAUAUGAUUGAGCACAGACACACAGAAAAGGCCACAUGAAGAUGAAGGCACAGGAGUUCCCACUGUGGUUCAGUGGGUUAAGGAUUCAGCUUUGCUGCAGCUGUGGCUCGAUUCUAUCCCUGGGAACGUCCAUAUGCUGUGAGUAUGGAAGGCGGGGUGGAAUAAAAGAAUGAAGGCAGAGAUAGUGCGUCCAGAAGCCAAAGAAGGCUAGCAAUGGCCAGCGAACCACGAGAAGCUGGGAAAGGUACAGAACAGGGUCUGCCUCCCAGCCCUCAGCAGGAACCAACCCGGCGACCACCUGGAUCUCACACUUCCAGACUCCGGACUGAGAGACAGAAAAUUGCUGUCGUUUAAGCCACCCAGUCUGUGGUACUUUAUGACAGCAGCCCCAGCAAACGUUUUCCCAGCAUGGAGAACGUGCAACCACAAGUUCGGAGAAGAGCGCAUGAUUCAGCAAGAAACGCUUGCGCUAGACUCCAUCUUGGGUAAAAGAUGCAUGCGCACACACAGGGCAAGGCCCUGAGUCGGGCCAAAUGUGGACUCAAGACCAGACAAAGCAAGAUGAUUGGCCGGAAGAAACGUGGAAGAACUGCCCCCAUCCAUAGAGGAGGGCAGAGCUGAUUGCCCAGGCAAGAGCAAAGAGGUGACACAGACUCUAACUUGCAGAUAUAUUCUACUGGAAUGCCUGCUCUUGAAGCCUUCGGCAAUUCUGUGAGCAGUCCGUCUGCCCUGAGGCUGCCAUACCAUGAGGACUCAAUCUAGCCCCUGUGGCGUGACCACAUGGAGCGGCUCCAAAACUGCAUGAUUACGGAGGGAUGCUCAGUUGGCCCUCAGUGCUGCCAGACCCACCCUCCACGCAACAGUGGCUUCUGCCCCCACCCUGCUAUUCCGGUUCAUCUUCUGACUACAGAUGCAUGCACAAAAGACCUGCCCACCCCCAGCCAGAAACAUCCAGCUGAGCCUUUCCCAAACCCCGGACCUAUAAGUCAUCAGCAAACAAAAGGGUUGUUUUAAGUCGUGGCGCAGCGGAAACAAAUCCGACUAGGAACCAUGAGGUUUCAGGUUUGAUCCCUGGCCUUGCCCAGUGGGUUAAGGAUCCGGCAUUGCCAUGAGCUGUGGUGUAGGUCGCAGGCACGGCUCGGAUCUGGCAUUGGUAUGGCUGUGGCGUAGGCCAGCGGCUACAGCUCCGAUUUGACCCCUAGCCUGGGAAUCUCCACAUGCCAUGGAUGUGGCCCAAAAAAGACAAAAAAUGAAAAUAAAAUAAAAUGAAAUAAAAUGGUAA
Molecule: long non-coding RNA, 1567 nt
Filed under: Sus scrofa (pig)
Lineage: Eukaryota; Metazoa; Chordata; Mammalia; Artiodactyla; Suidae
Description: lncRNA (ENSSSCG00030058565.1)
Source: RNAcentral